This 466-nucleotide long non-coding RNA is filed under the name Paramuricea clavata. Lineage: Eukaryota; Metazoa; Cnidaria; Anthozoa; Malacalcyonacea; Plexauridae. The record is from RNAcentral.
UUAAGGUUGUGCUUGGAAACGUUCCAACUCGUCAUUUUUAUUCUCGCUACGCAACAAAGACAACCUUUCUCCAUUUAUUGCCAACAUCAAGCAAGGUCAGAAGCAGUAUGCAAUCUGCUGUCUCUCUAGUUAUGGACCAACCUUUGGUGGAGGUCAUGGUCUGUAUAUUUGUAACAAUCCUCAAUUUAAUCAGCAUUCAUACAGCAAUUUUGGAAACACAUAUCAACUUCCUCCUGGUUAUGUCUAUGGUAGUGAACAAGCAAAGAACCUUCUUGCUGGUCAGUAUCAAUUCUUAACGACAGAAAUUGAAGUCUUCAACUGAAAAUUGCCUUUGUUUACUUACUUCAACGAAAAAUAACAUUACAUUGAUUACGAUCGGUCUUAGCAAUCACUUUCGGACAGUGAUUUUGCAAUACUAUAAAGUAUUAAGAAUUAAUAUGAAUAUUCUGAGUCAUGUACUGUAGGA